RNAcentral lists this ribosomal RNA (492 nucleotides) under uncultured bacterium. RNAcentral describes it as "partial 16S ribosomal RNA". It matches the Rfam family "Bacterial small subunit ribosomal RNA", at positions 29 to 507 of the family's 1533-position model. The record is from RNAcentral.
AGUGAACGCUGGCGGUAGGCCUAACACAUGCAAGUCGAACGGCAGCACAGUAAGAGCUUGCUCUUACGGGUGGCGAGUGGCGGACGGGUGAGGAAUACAUCGUAAUCUACUUUUUCGGGGGGGAUAACGUAGGGAAACUUACGCUAAUACCGCAUACGACCUACGGGGGAAAGCAGGGGAUCUUCGGACCUUGCGCGAUUGAAUGAGCCGAUGUCGGAUUAGCUAGUUGGCGGGGUAAAGGCCCACCAAGGCGACGAUCCGUAGCUGGUCUGAGAGGAUGAUCGGCCGCACUGGAACUGAGACACGGUCCAGACUCCUAAGGGAGGCAGCAGUGGGGAAUAUUGGACAAUGGGCGCAAGCCUGAUCCAGCCAUACCGCGUGGGUGAAGAAGGCCUUCGGGUUGUAAAGCCCUUUUGUUGGGAAAGAAAAGCAGCAGGUUAAUACCCCGCUGUUCUGACGGUACCCAAAGAAUAAGCACCGGCUAACUUCGUG